GGAGAGCUGAGCGGGGAGGAACU
Molecule: non-coding RNA, 23 nt
Filed under: Cricetulus griseus (Chinese hamster)
Lineage: Eukaryota; Metazoa; Chordata; Mammalia; Rodentia; Cricetidae
Source: RNAcentral